RNAcentral lists this ribosomal RNA (590 nucleotides) under uncultured bacterium. Its description in RNAcentral is "bacterial SSU rRNA". It matches the Rfam family "Bacterial small subunit ribosomal RNA", at positions 338 to 945 of the family's 1533-position model. The record is from RNAcentral.
CCUACGGGAGGCAGCAGUGGGGAAUUUUCCGCAAUGGGCGAAAGCCUGACGGAGCAACGCCGCGUGAGGGAUGAAGGCCUCUGGGCUGUAAACCUCUUUUAUCAAGGAAGAAGAUCUGACGGUACUUGAUGAAUAAGCCACGGCUAAUUCCGUGCCAGCAGCCGCGGUAAUACGGGAGUGGCAAGCGUUAUCCGGAAUUAUUGGGCGUAAAGCGUCCGCAGGCGGUCUUGUAAGUCUGUCGUUAAAGCGUGGAGCUCAACUCCAUUUCGGCGGUGGAAACUACAAGACUAGAGUGUGGUAGGGGCAGAGGGAAUUCCCGGUGUAGCGGUGAAAUGCGUAGAUAUCGGGAAGAACACCAGUGGCGAAGGCGCUCUGCUGGGCCAUAACUGACGCUCAUGGGCGAAAGCUAGGGGAGCGAAAGGGAUUAGAUACCCCUGUAGUCCUAGCCGUAAACGAUGAACACUAGGUGUCGGGGGAAUCGACCCCCUCGGUGUCGUAGCUAACGCGUUAAGUGUUCCGCCUGGGAGUACGCACGCAAGUGUGAACUUAAGGAAUUGACGGCUGNGAGNGCGACGCGACGACGAGGAGAG